This 181-nucleotide small RNA is filed under the name Caulobacter vibrioides NA1000. RNAcentral's name for it is "small non-coding RNA". The record is from RNAcentral. Lineage: Bacteria; Pseudomonadati; Pseudomonadota; Alphaproteobacteria; Caulobacterales; Caulobacteraceae.
AACCUCGGACGAGACCAUGGGCUCAGCCCAAUCGAUCAUGAUCGAAAACGGUCUCUUCUUGGGCGGCGCCGAUCCGCGUCGUCCCGGGGCCGAGGCGAUCGCGCCCUGAGGGUCUACCUCCCCCCCUGAUCCAGGGGUCGCGAUCCGUCGGCGCCGGAGCUGCCCCUCCGGCGCCGAUUUU